AUCUUGCGCAAUGGCCUAACGGCUGACGCAGCGACGCCGCGUGGAGGAUGACGCCCUUCGGGGUGUAAACUCCUGUUGCCCGGGACGAACAAGCGGUUUCGACCGCUCUGACGGUACCGGGUGAGGAAGCACCGGCUAACUCCGUGCCAGCAGCCGCGGUAAUACGGAGGGUGCGAGCGUUGUCCGGAAUCACUGGGCGUAAAGGGCGCGUAGGCGGCUUCUUAAGCGUGUGGUGAAAGCUCGGGGCUCAACCCCGAGUCGGCCGUGCGAACUGGGAAGCUCGAGCACUGUAGAGGCAGGUGGAAUUCCGGGUGUAGCGGUGGAAUGCGUAGAGAUCCGGAAGAACACCGGUGGCGAAGGCGGCCUGCUGGGCAGUGGCUGACGCUGAGGCGCGACAGCGUGGGGAGCAAA
Molecule: ribosomal RNA, 411 nt
Filed under: uncultured bacterium
Lineage: Bacteria
Description: bacterial SSU rRNA
Rfam family: Bacterial small subunit ribosomal RNA
Source: RNAcentral